This 2385-nucleotide long non-coding RNA is filed under the name Homo sapiens (human). Its description in RNAcentral is "HSALNT0042588". The record is from RNAcentral. Lineage: Eukaryota; Metazoa; Chordata; Mammalia; Primates; Hominidae.
GCAUACUUCUGCUUGUUCUCUGGCACUUGCUAUCAGUACAAGAAGAAUUUCCUCUGGGUAGUGGCUGCUACUUGUUGUGAGUCUGGGGGAAACACUAUUGGAGGUGACAAGAGUCCAAACUGCAAUGAUGUGCCACAUUCACCCAGCUGCAUCUGAACUGAAGCAGGGCCCCAGCCAAGCCUUGCCUGAGAUCAGCAGACCCUCGAUGACCCACAAAAAUUAUCUGCUUAGGACACAGAAGUCAAUUACACCCAAACCCUGGAUGGAAUCAGAAUCAGAAUCAGCCAUGCAAUGAGGAAGAAGAAAUGUAAGUUGCGGCCUGUGAUUCCAACAGUUCUCUUUCUGGAAUGGCUACCAAGAGAAAGUGUCCUGCAAAUCACAGUGUCCAACAGAAUCAACACUGCUAAACACACUCCCACUGGAGUACGGAGAAAGGGGAUCCACAGAAGAGCCUAAUCCUGAACCACUUCCAUGUAUUUGCCCAUCCAUUUCUCCUCUCUGGCCAAUACUCUUCAUAUUCAAAUUCUACCAGUCCUUCAAAGAUCAGAUUAAGUUCCAAAAUUUCAAAAGCCUUCUCAGCCUACUCUUACAGCUGAAUAGUGCAUACCAACUUCAAUUAAUUAUAAACUCAUGUUUCAUUUUGUAUUAUUUAAUAGAAACAUUGGAAUUUAAUCUUUGUGUUUUUUACAUUUUGUUUUCUCCACUAGAUUACCAACUUGAUGACAUGAACCACUUAUUAGAAUUCUUUUGUAGCUUGUAACUGUAUUAGGCACAGUUUCUUGAAGAAAUUAAGCACAUAUUUACAUGUUUUAAAUAACUUUGUAUUGAUUUGCAUAUGUAUGAAGGAGGUAUGUCAUACUUGGCUUUAGAAAAAAGUCUCGUCUAAUAUUCAAGGAACCAGUCUGUGACCUUUGUUUAUUAUGUAAUUUUUUGAAACACAAUCUAUAUUUACAAUCCUAUUAGCUGUUACUGGAUAUAUAUUUAUGGAAGAAUAUAACACUACUUCUUCUUUAUUACAUACAAUUUGGAUACUCUUCUGCCUUCGCCAUUAACUAUACAUUAAGACAGUUCACAUAACUUUAUUUUUUAUUUUCUGUUUUUUUUUAGAGAUGGAGGUCUAACUAUGUUGCCCAGGCUGGCCUCGAACUCCUGGGCUCAAGUAAUCCUUCACCUCAGUCUCUCAAGUUGCAGGGAUUACUGGCUUGAGCCACUGUGCCUGGCAGUUUACACAACUUUAAUUGCUGGUUUAUGUAUAAAUUUCCUUCUAUAAUCUAGUCAGAAUCUAGUCAACCUACUACUGCAUAAAAAUUUGCUGAAUAUCUCCCAAGAGCUAGCCCUCAUAAAGGGUUUUAAGGCUCUCAAUAAGCUUAAUAUACAGAAAUAAACUGCAUUGGCUGUAUAUUUGCACAAAAGUUGUAAACUUGGCUGCUGCAGAGCAAUUUAUGUACAUACGGUACCUGUUUCUUUGGCUGUCCUUUUUUUGUGUAACAAUUACUAAUAUACAUUCCCUUUUAUCUAAAAAAAUCCCUAUGUACUAAUGAAACCUCUGCCAGAGGAUAUAAGGAACACGAAAAUAGUAUAAGACACAUUUCUUGUGCCUGAUGAAUUUACACCCUUGUCAGGAAGAUAAACAUAUGUAUAAAUUGUACCUACAGAAAAUACAUAAUAUAGUGUGAUCAGACUGAAUGACUUGGUAACUGAGAAAAAUAAAAAUAAACUGAAUAGGAAAAAAUGUCCUAAGCAUUGCAUUUAAAUAUCAUACCUGGAUUAGGACUCAUUUUAUGGGCAUAUAUCAGUGCAAGUAGAGAACAAAGUGAUACAUCUUGUUUAUUUUUAAUAGCCUCAAAUUCUCGAAGAGCUUCUUGAGUUUUACCUGAAAAUCAAGAUUAUGAUAUGAAAAACUGUUCUUAGUGCAAAGCAAGAAUUUAAAACUGAUGGAACAUGUUUAAUGAUUAACACGUACCUUCCAUUAAUGUGCCAUAGGCAUGAUAAAACCUGAAGACUGGAUCACUUCCAUACCUCUUAAUUCCUUCACUGGCAACCAGUAAUACAUGAUGGAAAUAUCUCUCUUGACAAUAGUAAUUAAUCAAAGUCUAAAUGGAAAUAAUGAAAAAAUGUUAUAAAGGAAUUCUGGUGCUCUGAAAUACUCUAAGAAGCAGAUAAUAAUCUAACAUCUAGAAUAAUGUAAAAUUCAGGCAAUGUGACUUUUUUCUUCCAAGUUUCUUAAAAUACUAUUAAUGGCUAGAACUCAAUGCUAAGGAUUACAGCAUUACAAAGUAAUGACAAAUUUAAUUCUUCAACAUAUCAUCAAAUGUUAUCUUACUCGGCUUUGAGUUCUGCGACAAAUAAAUUGUCAGUUAAGAAUAAAUAAACUAUUUUUCAAUG